Molecule: long non-coding RNA, 756 nt
Organism: Gasterosteus aculeatus (three-spined stickleback)
Lineage: Eukaryota; Metazoa; Chordata; Actinopteri; Perciformes; Gasterosteidae
Source: Ensembl
AUGUUUAACUGCACCAUGAGGGUUGUUCUUGGUUUGUUGUUGGUGCUGCUCGGUCUGUGUGGGUCAGCGGCUCAACAGGACGGUUUCACCAAGGUUGGUGAGAUCGGAGAGUUUCUCGAGACGGCUGCAAGAGACACGGCUGAUGAAUCGAUCGAGGACACAACAAAGCAAACACGCCACGACAUCUGGGCAGAGCUUAGGGCUCUGAAAGACACGGUGUCAGAUGUUUGGGUGGAGCUUUACCUGCUGCAGAGAGAUAACGCUGACCUUCAGACCAGACUGAGCAGCGGUGAGAGGGAACUUCUUGUCAGCAAGUUCAGGGUUGACCUGCUGGAGAAAGAAAAUGCAGACUUACAGACCAGACUGAGCAGCAGUGAGAGUGAACUUCUCGUCAGCAAGUUCAGGAUUGACCAGGUGGAGAAAGAAAAUGCAGUCCAAGAAACUAGACUGAAUGCCACUGAGAGCCAAACAAGUGGCCUGGAAGGAGAAAUUACAGACUUACAGACCAGACUGAGCAGCAGUGAGAGUGAACUUCUCUUCAGCAAGUCCAGGAUUGACCAGCUGGGGAAAGAAAAUGCAGACUUACAGACCAGACUGAGCAGCAGUGAGAGUGAACUUCUCGUCAGCAAGUCCAGAAUUGACCAGCUGGAGAAAGAAAAUGCAGGUGAUGAAGUGUGUCAGUGAACUGAUGGACUUGAUGUUGGCUCCAGAUUAAGUUUAAUGACAUACAUUGACUCUUUUGUGUUAACAGUGAAA